This 407-nucleotide ribosomal RNA is filed under the name uncultured bacterium. RNAcentral's name for it is "partial 16S ribosomal RNA". It matches the Rfam family "Bacterial small subunit ribosomal RNA", at positions 29 to 526 of the family's 1533-position model. The record is from RNAcentral.
AUUGAACGCUGGCGGCAGGCCUAACACAUGCAAGUCGAGCGGGGGGCCGGACGGGGGGGUAAGGCCUGGGAAUCGGCCUGUUGGUGGGGGAUAACGCCCGGAACGGGGGGCUAUUACCGCAUCCUAUCGAAGAAGCCUGGGCCGGAUUAGCUAGUUGGGGGGUUAAAGGCUUACAAAGGCGACGAUCCGUAACUGGUCUGAGAGGAUGAUCAGUAACACUGGAACUGAGACACGGUCCAGACUCCUACGGGAGGCAGCAGGGGGGAAUAUUGGACAAUGGGCGAAAGCCUGAUCCAGCCAUGCCGCGUGUGUGAAGAAGGUCUUCGGAUUGUAAAGCACUUUAAGUUGGGAGGCGUUACCAACAGAAUAAGCACCGGCUAACUUCGUGCCAGCAGCCGCGGUAAUAC